GUCGCGGAUANAUNACUAAUCCNNNNGAAAUCCUUAAUGUGUCAUUAAGGAUAACGUAAGGGAAAAUAAUGAUAACAACUUACUAUUAGUGUCGUCCAAGUGCUCGUGCCAGAAGACUCGGUAAGGCGAGAGACNCAAACGUUAAUCGUCUUGAUCAGGCGUAAAGGGUGUGUANGCGGCUUUAANAAUCCAAUUCUCGAUUUACUGUUUAAAUAUGUUAAAUUUUUAAAUUUAACUUAAUUUUCAAUGAUAAAUUCUAUUGUUUUUUUAUUUAUUUAAUAUUUAUAUAAAAUAAAGUUUUUAUCCACAAACAAUUGUACCUCUAAUCUUUAAAACGNAGGUUGAGUUAAUAAUUUCUCAUUUUAAAUNUACUCUUUUUGGAAUACAAAAGAGGGGAGAAAAGGAUCAAUUAAAGCUAGAAUCUACCANAGGUUAAAACAAUACUUAAGGUAGGGGUACUAACUGUAGAUAUUAAGCAGAGUAUUUAAGGCGAAGCAUUUAUCCCAUGAANAUUGACGCUGAAAAACGAANGUGAGGGCNGAAAAAAAGAUUAGAGACCCUUGUAUUCCUCNCUGUCAACGAUAAAUGGUAGUUACUANUUUGAAUAAAUUAGAGACAAUAUUAACACCGAAAACCAUUCCCCCUUGUUGAAUU
This 654-nucleotide ribosomal RNA is filed under the name Basidioradulum radula. RNAcentral describes it as "partial 12S ribosomal RNA". It matches the Rfam family "Bacterial small subunit ribosomal RNA", at positions 398 to 873 of the family's 1533-position model. Lineage: Eukaryota; Fungi; Basidiomycota; Agaricomycetes; Hymenochaetales; Hymenochaetaceae. The record is from RNAcentral.